Molecule: non-coding RNA, 91 nt
Organism: Rhamnusium bicolor
Lineage: Eukaryota; Metazoa; Arthropoda; Insecta; Coleoptera; Cerambycidae
Source: the annotation of a GenBank genome assembly
GUUGGUGUAGUCAUUGAUAUAGUUGGCUAGAGCGCACGAAUGCAGGCAUGACUAGAAAUCGUAGCUGCGGGUUCAAAUCCCGCCACCAGCA